AUUGAACGCUGGCGGCAUGCUUUACACAUGCAAGUCGAACGGUAACAGGGUGCUUGCACCGUUGACGAGUGGCGAACGGGUGAGUAAUACAUCGGAAUGUACCCAGUAAUGGGGGAUAACGCUUCGAAAGGAGUGCUAAUACCGCAUACGCCCUACGGGAGAAAGCGGGGGCUCUUCGGACCUCGCGCUAACAGAUGAGCCUAGGUCGGAUGAGCUAGUUGGUGGGGUAAUGGCCCACCAAGGCGACGAUCCGUAACUGGUCUGAGAGGAUGAUCAGUCACACUGGAACUGAGACACGGUCCAGACUCCUACGGGAGGCAGCAGUGGGGAAUAUUGGACAAUGGGCGAAAGCCUGAUCCAGCCAUGCCGCGUGUGUGAAGAAGGUCUUCGGAUUGUAAAGCACUUUAAGUCGGGAGGAAGGGCUGUAGGCUAAUACCUUGCAGUUUUGACGUUACCGACAGAAUAAGCACCGGCUAACUUCGUGCCAGCAGCCGCCGUAA
This 500-nucleotide ribosomal RNA is filed under the name uncultured bacterium. RNAcentral describes it as "partial 16S ribosomal RNA". It matches the Rfam family "Bacterial small subunit ribosomal RNA", at positions 30 to 523 of the family's 1533-position model. The record is from RNAcentral.